This 240-nucleotide ribosomal RNA is filed under the name uncultured bacterium. Its description in RNAcentral is "partial 16S ribosomal RNA". The record is from RNAcentral.
CUGCUGCCUUCCGUAGGAGUCUGGGCCGUAUCUCAGUCCCAAUGUGGCCGGCCAACCUCUCAGUCCGGCUACUGAUCGUCGCCUUGGUGGGCCGUUACCUCACCAACUAGCUAAUCAGACGCGAGGCCAUCUUCCAGCGAUAAAUCUUUGACAUCAGUGCCAUGCGACACCAAUGCGUCAUGCGGUAUUAGCAGUCGUUUCCAACUGUUGUCCCCCUCUGGAAGGCAGGUUCCUCACGCG